CCUACGGGAGGCAGCAGUGAGGAAUAUUGGACAAUGGGCGCAAGCCUGAUCCAGCCAUGCCGCGUGCAGGAAGACGGUCCUAUGGAUUGUAAACUGCUUUUAUACAGGAAGAAACACCUCUACGUGUAGAGACUUGACGGUACUGUAUGAAUAAGCAUCGGCUAACUCCGUGCCAGCAGCCGCGGUAAUACGGAGGAUGCAAGCGUUAUCCGGAAUCAUUGGGUUUAAAGGGUCCGUAGGCGGUUUAAUAAGUCAGUGGUGAAAGCCCAUCGCUCAACGAUGGAACGGCCAUUGAUACUGUUAAACUUGAAUUAUUAGGAAGUAACUAGAAUAUGUAGUGUAGCGGUGAAAUGCUUAGAGAUUACAUGGAAUACCAAUUGCGAAGGCAGGUUACUACUAAUAUAUUGACGCUGAUGGACGAAAGCGUGGGGAGCGAACAGGAUUAGAUACCCUGGUAGUCCACGCCGUAAACGAUGGAUACUAGCUGUUCGGAGCAAUCUGNGUGNGAGAGAAGAGAGUAAGUAGUCCACCGUGGGUAGGUACGUUCGUUCGAGAAGUUAGAACGUUACGAAGAGUAGUUAGACGNGNGAGAGCGACGACGACGACGACGGAGGAGGAGG
Molecule: ribosomal RNA, 620 nt
Filed under: uncultured bacterium
Lineage: Bacteria
Description: bacterial SSU rRNA
Rfam family: Bacterial small subunit ribosomal RNA (bases 1-531)
Source: RNAcentral